AACACAAAGAGGGUGACUCCAAUCUGUUGCUUCUACCACCCCCUGGUUUGGGUUAUUGAAUAUGGAAGAUCAUACGAUUAAUUGCCAGAAUCUGUGAACCGUAAUGAACUCUUUCAGUGGCUGAGUUCUACUACCGUACCCAGCCCUCAUGAUUGGUGACCCAUCGAUGAGGAAGGACUGGGUGUGGGGACAGGGUCUCACUCUGUUGUCCAGGCUGAUCUCAAACUCCUGGCCUCAAGCAAUCCUCCUGCUUCCUUGUCCUCUGGAGUCACUGGAAUUACAGAUGUGAACCACCUCAACCAGCUAAAGAAACUGCCUUUAUUGCAUUAAGAAAAGAAGCCAGAAGGUGGUGAGAAGCAAAUGGAAAGGAUGGAAGAGAGGAGAGACGAAGCAACGCCCAUCGAGACAGCAGACAGGGCUAAGUGGAUCUACACAGAGAAGCACUUAACCUCACCUUCACAUAUUUCUAGACAAAGCUCGGAGAAAAAGAAUCAAGUGAGUCCACAGCAUUGUCGCUAAAUGCGGGGCAUAGGAGGGCCUGCUCACAGCAAUGGAAACGACAGCAAGGUGGAAGAGACAGCCACAGAUUUUAUCUAACUAUUCACACUCAAAUGAAAAACGUAAGGGAAUAAGCAGAAGAGGGAGGUGCAAUUAUUUUGUCUAAAGGCCAGCUCAACUUCUGGGGCUGAGGCCAGUCAGCUGGGACCUAUGAGGGAUAAGCAUGUUUCGUGAGGCUAAAUGAAAGCCAACUAGCUGCAGUAGAUUUUGCUCAGGUCACAGUGAAAUACAAUACGUUGUUGACCGUUACCAGUGAUUGUUCUAUAGGAAGGACUCGUUGCUGGUGAAUCGUUUUAAUAGUUUGUGCAUCUCUUUUCAGGGAGUUCCUCAAAUUUCCUGGGGGCUACAAAAAGAAUAAAAAACAAAGAUUAAUACCAUC
Long non-coding RNA from Pongo pygmaeus (Bornean orangutan), 937 nucleotides. RefSeq lists it as uncharacterized. The transcript is spliced from 3 exons. Lineage: Eukaryota; Metazoa; Chordata; Mammalia; Primates; Hominidae. The record is from RefSeq and is a predicted model, not a curated record.